GGGGCUGAUUCUGGAUUCGACGGGAUUUGCGAAACCCAAGGUGCAUGCCGAGGGGCGGUUGGCCUCGUAAAAAGCCGCAAAAAAUAGUCGCAAACGACGAAAACUACGCUUUAGCAGCUUAAUAACCUGCUUAGAGCCCUCUCUCCCUAGCCUCCGCUCUUAGGACGGGGAUCAAGAGAGGUUAAACCCAAAAGAGAUCGCGUGGAAGCCCUGCCUGGGGUUGAAGCGUUAAAACUUAAUCAGGCUAGUUUGUUAGUGGCGUGUCCGUCCGCAGCUGGCAAGCGAAUGUAAAGACUGACUAAGCAUGUAGUACCGAGGAUGUAGGAAUUUCGGACGCGGGUUCAACUCCCGCCAGCUCCACCA
RNAcentral lists this transfer-messenger RNA (363 nucleotides) under Escherichia coli. It matches the Rfam family "transfer-messenger RNA". From Rfam's summary of the family: Bacterial tmRNA, also known as 10Sa RNA or SsrA, is named for its dual tRNA and mRNA-like properties. Its role is to liberate the mRNA from a stalled ribosome. To accomplish this part of the tmRNA is used as a reading frame that ends in a translation stop signal. The record is from RNAcentral. Lineage: Bacteria; Pseudomonadati; Pseudomonadota; Gammaproteobacteria; Enterobacterales; Enterobacteriaceae.